This 475-nucleotide long non-coding RNA is filed under the name Phasianus colchicus (ring-necked pheasant). RNAcentral describes it as "lncRNA (ENSPCLG00000017908.1)". Lineage: Eukaryota; Metazoa; Chordata; Aves; Galliformes; Phasianidae. The record is from RNAcentral.
GGCAGACUUUGUUCAGACAAUGAAAGAAAGCUAUGCUGAGGUAACCGUGUUCUUCAUGUCAAACUUCUGUCAAAUGAAACUGGUUUUGCACCGUAACACUGGAACAGUUUGCUAGUCAAAAAGAGAUUCUCGGUGCAACUAUAACAAUUUUAUUCCUUGUUUAGAUAACUAAACAAAUAGCAUAUUUUCUUAUGAUGAAAGCAACUUAGCUUUCUUAAUUCUAGAUAUUUAAAUCUGAGCUAAUCAUCUAUGUUGCUUUUUAUAGGCAAUCAAAAGGAAUAAAUCUUUCUAGAGCACAAUCCAGUGACCUACUUUAAAUAUCUCUUAGGAGGAGAUGUUCUCUGUCUUAGAAAUGUCUUUUAAGAGAGACCAGGCUCUGCAAAUAUCUUGUAAACAAAUUCCAUUCUGUAGACAAAGCUUGCUCCGUCAAAAAAGCAGACAAGUGGCCUGGAGAUUAAUUCAGCAAGGUCAUCAC